CGCGUAGGCGGGAUGGCAAGUCGGUCGUGAAAUCCUUCGGCUCAACCGAAGAACGUCGAUCGAUACUGCUGUUCUUGAGGGUUGCAGAGGAGACUGGAAUUCCCGGUGUAGCGGUGAAAUGUGUAGAGAUCGGGAGGAACACCGGUGGCGAAGGCGGGUCUCUGGGCAAUCCCUGACGCUGAGGCGCGAAAGCGUGGGGAGCAAACGGGAUUAGAUACCCCGGUAGUCCACGCUGUAAACGAUGACGACUAGGUGUGGGGGGGUUCAGUCCCCUCCGUGCCGCAGCUAACGCAUUAAGUCGUCCGCCUGGGGAGUACGGCCGCAAGGUUGA
This 331-nucleotide ribosomal RNA is filed under the name uncultured bacterium. RNAcentral's name for it is "bacterial SSU rRNA". It matches the Rfam family "Bacterial small subunit ribosomal RNA", at positions 568 to 897 of the family's 1533-position model. The record is from RNAcentral.